UGGGGAAUAUUGGACAAUGGGCGCAAGCCUGAUCCAGCCAUGCCGCGUGAGUGAUGAAGGCCCUAGGGUUGUAAAGCUCUUUCACCGGUGAAGAUAAUGACGGUAACCGGAGAAGAAGCCCCGGCUAACUUCGUGCCAGCAGCCGCGGUAAUACGAAGGGGGCUAGCGUUGUUCGGAGUUACUGGGCGUAAAGCGCACGUAGGCGGACUUUUAAGUCAGGGGUGAAAUCCCGGGGCUCAACCCCGGAACUGCCUUUGAUACUGGAAGUCUUGAGUAUGGUAGAGGUGAGUGGAAUUCCGAGUGUAGAGGUGAAAUUCGUAGAUAUUCGGAGGAACACCAGUGGCGAAGGCGGCUCACUGGACCAUUACUGACGCUGAGGUGCGAAAGCGUGGGGAGCAAACAGG
RNAcentral lists this ribosomal RNA (404 nucleotides) under Actinomycetes bacterium. Its description in RNAcentral is "Actinobacteria bacterium partial 16S ribosomal RNA". It matches the Rfam family "Bacterial small subunit ribosomal RNA", at positions 355 to 776 of the family's 1533-position model. The record is from RNAcentral. Lineage: Bacteria; Bacillati; Actinomycetota; Actinomycetes.